Molecule: ribosomal RNA, 250 nt
Filed under: uncultured bacterium
Lineage: Bacteria
Description: partial 16S ribosomal RNA
Rfam family: Bacterial small subunit ribosomal RNA
Source: RNAcentral
UACGUAGGGUGCGAGCGUUAAUCGGAAUUACUGGGCGUAAAGCGUGCGCAGGCGGAUGUUUAAGUCAGAUGUGAAAUCCCCGGGCUUAACCUGGGAAUGGCAUUUGAAACUGGACGUCUAGAGUGCGUCAGAGGGGGGUGGAAUUCCACGUGUAGCGGUGAAAUGCGUAGAUAUCGGGAGGAACACCUGUGGCGAAAGCGGCUCACUGGACCGUUGUUGACGCUGAGACGCGAAGGCGUGGGGAGCAAAC